RNAcentral lists this long non-coding RNA (1051 nucleotides) under Astyanax mexicanus (Mexican tetra). RNAcentral describes it as "lncRNA (ENSAMXG00005018401.1)". The record is from RNAcentral. Lineage: Eukaryota; Metazoa; Chordata; Actinopteri; Characiformes; Acestrorhamphidae.
AAUAUCUCCCUGCUCGCAAUGGGCCUUUCUCACCUGAGGGAUAUGUCGUCUUGUUUUUGCAUCAUUAGAUCUGACCAGAACAGCACAGCACCAUAUUCCCCUCUGAGAGGCCGUCACACACCCAUCAGCCUCCCGGGGAGAGGGGGCAGACCCAGCAACAGCACUCAUAAAGAAAGUAAAUCACACUACACACACACACACAUACACACCAUCAACGCCACCCUCCUAGCACUCCCAGUCAGCGCGAGAGUGUAACAGUGACCAGCCCAGAGACGCAAAUCAUCCCCACACACACAUUACCUUAAUGAUGUCAGAUCAGGACCCCCCAAGGCCAAGGGCCCUGAUUGGCCCUUAGUCCCUCACAGGUCUAAUGAGAAGGAGCUGGUGUUGGGAAAUGUGGCCGGGCUAAUUAAAGGUGCUAUCUGCGAGACAAUUGCUUAUUUUGUUAUUGCUUUAGAAAGGUGAACGUCCCAGAGGCUCUGACACCAUCAUAUCCCUCACACACGCGGCCAAUUAGAGCCCGGCAGGAGCCGGAGACUUCCGAACAACUGUAGCAAAAUAUAGUUGCAGAGGACAGCACUGAAUGUGUACAUGUGCACAAAGAUUACCUCACUUUUUUAUAUCAUCACUCAUAUAUUUUAUAUACAGCUCUGAACAAAUGAAAAAAAAAAAGAGACCACUUAAAAAUGGUGAGUUUCUUUCAUUUUACCAAAUUGAAAGGAAGAGAGAGGAAGAUGGGUGAUCAAAAGCCAUCAAACCAAGCUGAACAGCUUGAAUUGUUGCACCAGGAUUAAAAGCAUAAAGUUAUCCAAAAGCAGUGUGUAAGACUGGUGGAGGAGAACAUGAUGCCAAGAUGCAUGAAAUCUGUGAUUACAAACCAGGGUUAUUCCACCAAAUAUUGAUUUCUGAACUCUUAAACUUUAUGAAUAUGAUCUUGUUUUCUUUGCAAUAUUUGAGGUCUGAAAGCUCUGCAUUUUUUUGUCAUUUCAGCCAUAUCUUUUUUUUUUUUUUUGCAAAUAAAUUCUUUAAAUGACAAUAUUUUUAUUUGGAA